Molecule: ribosomal RNA, 214 nt
Filed under: uncultured bacterium
Lineage: Bacteria
Description: partial 16S ribosomal RNA
Rfam family: Bacterial small subunit ribosomal RNA
Source: RNAcentral
UACGAGUGCCCCAAGCGUUAUCCGGAAUUAUUGGGCGUAAAGGGUGUGUAGGCAGCAUGGUUAGUCUUUUGUUAAAGCUCCCGGCUCAACCGGGAAGAUGCAAGGGAAACGGCCAUUGCUAGAGGAUGUGAGAGGUGAAUGGAACUCAUGGUGUAGGGUGAAAUCCGUUGAUAUCAUGGGGAACACCAAAAGCGAAGGCAAUUCACUGGCACAU